RNAcentral lists this transfer-messenger RNA (348 nucleotides) under Geovibrio thiophilus. RNAcentral's name for it is "Standard tmRNA". It matches the Rfam family "transfer-messenger RNA". Rfam says of the family: Bacterial tmRNA, also known as 10Sa RNA or SsrA, is named for its dual tRNA and mRNA-like properties. The record is from Rfam by way of RNAcentral. Lineage: Bacteria; Pseudomonadati; Deferribacterota; Deferribacteres; Deferribacterales; Geovibrionaceae.
GGGGGCGAUCGGUUUCGACGGGGAAUCGUAGGUCCUGGGAGCAUGCCGAGGUCGGCACCUCGUUAAUUAGCCGGCAAAUAGUAACUGCAAACAACGAAUUUGCACUCGCUGCUUAAUUGACGGCGACGCACAGAGCGAGGCCUGCUCACGGCUGACCCGAGUGCGCCAAACAAUAGUGAGCCAAGUCCUUUGAACCGCCUUAAACAAAGGGACUGAAACCUAAAGGCUUACUUUAAGUCAUAGCUGUCUGUGGCUGAGAUUUAAAGGACACCUGAUCACAGAACAAGCAUGUAGCGCCUUCGACUGUAAGUUUUUCGGACGCGGGUUCGAUUCCCGCCGCCUCCAUUU